RNAcentral lists this ribosomal RNA (447 nucleotides) under uncultured Hyphomicrobiales bacterium. RNAcentral describes it as "bacterial SSU rRNA". It matches the Rfam family "Bacterial small subunit ribosomal RNA", at positions 29 to 523 of the family's 1533-position model. Lineage: Bacteria; Pseudomonadati; Pseudomonadota; Alphaproteobacteria; Hyphomicrobiales. The record is from RNAcentral.
AACGAACGCUGGCGGCAGGCCUAACACAUGCAAGUCGAGCGCCCCGCAAGGGGAGCGGCAGACGGGUGAGUAACGCGUGGGAAUCUACCUUUUGCUACGGAAUAACGCAGGGAAACUUGUGCUAAUACCGUAUGUGUCCUUCGGGAGAAAGAUUUAUCGGCAAGAGAUGAGCCCGCGUUGGAUUAGCUAGUUGGUGGGGUAAAGGCCUACCAAGGCGACGAUCCAUAGCUGGUCUGAGAGGAUGAUCAGCCACAUUGGGACUGAGACACGGCCCAAACUCCUACGGGAGGCAGCAGUGGGGAAUAUUGGACAAUGGGCGCAAGCCUGAUCCAGCCAUGCCGCGUGAGUGAUGAAGGCCCUAGGGUUGUAAAGCACUUUCACCGGAGAAGAUAAUGACGGUAUCCGGAGAAGAAGCCCCGGCUAACUUCGUGCCAGCAGCCGCGGUAA